RNAcentral lists this ribosomal RNA (253 nucleotides) under uncultured bacterium. RNAcentral's name for it is "partial 16S ribosomal RNA". It matches the Rfam family "Bacterial small subunit ribosomal RNA", at positions 524 to 776 of the family's 1533-position model. The record is from RNAcentral.
UACGGAGGGGGUUAGCGUUGUUCGGAAUUACUGGGCGUAAAGCGUGCGCAGGCGGUUUUGUAAGUCUGAUGUGAAAUCCCCGGGCUCAACCUGGGAAUUGCAUUGGAGACUGCAAGGCUAGAAUCUGGCAGAGGGGGGUAGAAUUCCACGUGUAGCAGUGAAAUGCGUAGAGAUGUGGAGGAACACCGAUGGCGAAGGCAGCCCCCUGGGUCAAGAUUGACGCUCAUGCACGAAAGCGUGGGGAGCAAACAGG